CCCNUUCUGUGCCGGAGUUAACGCAAUAAGUACCCCGCCUGGGGAGUACGACCGCAAGGUUGAAACUCAAAGGAAUUGACGGGGGCCCGCACAAGCGGUGGAGUAUGUGGUUUAAUUCGACGCAACGCGAAGAACCUUACCAGGUCUUGACAUUGAUGGACAGAACCAGAGAUGGUUCCUCUUCUUCGGAAGCCAGAAAACAGGUGGUGCACGGUUGUCGUCAGCACGUGUCGUGAGAUGCUGGGUUAAGUCCCGCAACGAGCGCAACCCCUAUCUUAUGUUGCCAGCACUUUGGGUGGGGACUCAUGAGAGACAGCCGCAGACAAUGCGGAGGAAGGCGGGGAUGACGUCAAGUCAUCAUGCCCCUUAUGACCUGGGCUACACACGUACUACAAUGGGAGUUAAUAGACGGAAGCGAGAUCGCGAGAUGGAGCAAACCCGAGAAACACUCUCUCAGUUCGGAUCGUAGGCUGCAACUCGCCUACGUGAAGUCGGAAUCGCUAGUAAUCGCAGGUCAGCAUACUGCGGUGAAUACGUUCCCGGGCCUUGUACACACCGC
RNAcentral lists this ribosomal RNA (559 nucleotides) under uncultured bacterium. RNAcentral's name for it is "bacterial SSU rRNA". It matches the Rfam family "Bacterial small subunit ribosomal RNA", at positions 835 to 1393 of the family's 1533-position model. The record is from RNAcentral.